This 275-nucleotide ribosomal RNA is filed under the name uncultured bacterium. RNAcentral describes it as "partial 16S ribosomal RNA". It matches the Rfam family "Bacterial small subunit ribosomal RNA", at positions 79 to 353 of the family's 1533-position model. The record is from RNAcentral.
CUAAGUUUGAUGGCGACCGGCGCACGGGUGAGUAACNCGUAUCCAACCUGCCGAUGACUCGGGGAUAGCCUUUCGAAAGAAAGAUUAAUACCCGAUGGCAUAGUUCUUCCGCAUGGUAGAACUAUUAAAGAAUUUCGGUCAUCGAUGGGGAUGCGUUCCAUUAGGUUGUUGGCGGGGUAACGGCCCACCAAGCCUUCGAUGGAUAGGGGUUCUGAGAGGAAGGUCCCCCACAUUGGAACUGAGACACGGUCCAAACUCCUACGGGAGGCAGCAUG